UGUGGAGAGCUUGAGGGAGGAUAUUCUAGCUGGGAAGCUCAAAUCGGGUAGCGAAAUAAAGGUGUUUAGAACUAUAAUGCUUGAUUGAGUACAGAGGAUUUUAGCAUCGACAAACUGAUAUUUGCCUCAAUUAAGAGCUUCAGUUUUUAUUAUUUGUCGUAUGCAUUUGGGUUGUACUCUCUGUAGGAUGCUUUGAAGAGGAGUGUACUUGAAUUGCUAAUUAAGAAAGGGAAUAAGGCUGAUCUUCAGCUUGGAUUCAGGAAACCGGCUGUUAUUAUGAUAGUUGGUGUCAAUGGAGGUGGGAAGACAACG
RNAcentral lists this unclassified non-coding RNA (312 nucleotides) under Hevea brasiliensis (rubber tree). Lineage: Eukaryota; Viridiplantae; Streptophyta; Magnoliopsida; Malpighiales; Euphorbiaceae. The record is from RNAcentral.